Molecule: ribosomal RNA, 301 nt
Filed under: uncultured bacterium
Lineage: Bacteria
Description: partial 16S ribosomal RNA
Rfam family: Bacterial small subunit ribosomal RNA
Source: RNAcentral
CAGCAGCCACGGGAAUACGUAGGUGGCAAGCGUUGUCCGGAAUUAUUGGGCGUAAAGGGCUCGCAGGCGGUUUCUUAAGUCUGAUGUGAAAGCCCCCGGCUCAACCGGGGAGGGUCAUUGGAAACUGGGAAACUUGAGUGCAGAAGAGGAGAGUGGAAUUCCACGUGUAGCGGUGAAAUGCGUAGAGAUGUGGAGGAACACCAGUGGCGAAGGCGACUCUCUGGUCUGUAACUGACGCUGAGGAGCGAAAGCGUGGGGAGCGAACAGGAUUAGAUACCCCCGUAGUCCCUGUCUCUUAUAC